GAUGAACGCUGGCGGCGUGCCUAAUACAUGCAAGUCGAGCGAACAGACGAGGAGCUUGCUCCUCUGACGUUAUCGGCGGACGGGUGAGUAACACGUGGAUAACCUACCUAUACGACUGGGAUAACUUCGGGAAACCGGAGCUACUACCGGAUAAUAUAUUGAACCGCAUGGUUCAAUAGUGAAAGACGGUUUUGCUGUCACUUAUAGAUGGAUCCGCGCCGCAUUAGCUAGUUGGUGGGGUAACGGCUUACCAAGGCAACGAUGCGUAGCCGACCUGAGAGGGUGAUCGGCCACACUGGAACUGAGACACGGUCCAGACUCCUACGGGAGGCAGCAGUGGGGAAUCUUCCGCAAUGGGCGAAAGCGUGACGGAGCAACGCCGCGUGAGUGAUGAAGGUCUUCGGAUCGUAAAACUCUGUUAUUAGGGAAGAACAAAUGUGUAAGUAACUAUGCACGUCUUGACGGUACCUAAUCAGAAAGCCACGGCUAACUACGUG
Molecule: ribosomal RNA, 497 nt
Filed under: uncultured bacterium
Lineage: Bacteria
Description: partial 16S ribosomal RNA
Rfam family: Bacterial small subunit ribosomal RNA
Source: RNAcentral